Molecule: long non-coding RNA, 781 nt
Organism: Oncorhynchus tshawytscha (Chinook salmon)
Lineage: Eukaryota; Metazoa; Chordata; Actinopteri; Salmoniformes; Salmonidae
Source: Ensembl
CUGGGCCAUCCCAAAUGGCGAGCGAGGGCCCAUAGUGCUCUGGUCAAAAGUAGUGCACUAUAUAGGGAAUAGGGCUCGGGUCUAAAGUAGUGCACUAUGUAGGGAAUAGGGUGCAAUAGGGCUCUGGUCUAAAGUAGUGCACUAUAUAGGGAAUAGGGUUCUAUAGGGCUCUGGUCUAAAGUAGUGCACUAUAUAGGGAAUAGGGUUCUAUAGGGCUCUGGUCUAAAGUAGUGCACUAUAUAGGGAAUAGGGUUCUAUAGGGCUCUGGUCUAAAGUAGUGCACUAUAUAGGGAAUAGGGUUCUAUAGGGCUCUGGUCUAAAGUAGUGUACUAUAUAGGGAAUAGGGUUCCAUUCAGGACAGUAAGGGGAGGCUGCAGGAGUCUGUAAUGUGAUGUGACCGUGAUAACGACAGUGAGGGGAGGCUGCAGGAGUCUGUGACCGUGAUAACGACAGUGAGGGAAGGCUGCAGGAGUCUAAUGUGACCGUGAUAACGACAGUGAGGGAAGGCUGCAGGAGUCUGUAAUGUGAUAUGACCGUGAUAACGACAGUGAGGGAAGGCUGCAGGAGUCUGUAAUGUGACCGUGAUAAUGACAGUGAGGGGAGGCUGCAGGAGUCUGUAAUGUGAUAUGACCGUGAUAACGACAGUGAGGGAAGGCUGCAGGAGUCUGUAAUGUGACCGUGAUAACGACAGUGAGGGGAGGCUGCAGGAGUCUGUAAUGUGAUCGUGAUAACGACAGUGAGGGGAAACUGCAGGACUCUGUAAUGUGACCGUGAUAACGAC